CCAGGUCUUGACAUCCCGUUGAACCACUGUAGAGAUAUGGUUUUCCCUUCGGGGACAAACGGUGACAGGUGGUGCAUGGUUGUCAGUCAGCUCAGUGUCGUGAGAUGUUGGGUUAAGUCCCGCAACGAGCGCAACCCUUGAUCUUAGUUGCCAUCAUUUAGUUGGGCACUCUAAGGUGACUGCCGGUGACAAACCGGAGGAAGGUGGGGAUGACGUCAAAUCAUCAUGCCCACUUAUGACCUGGGCUACACACGUGCUACAAUGGACGAUACAAACGGUUGCCAACUCGCGAGAGGGAGCUAAUCCGAUAAAGUCGUUCUCAGUUCAGGAUUGUAGGCUGCAACUCGCACUACAUGAAGCCAGGAAUCGCUAGUAAUCGCGGAUCAGCAUGCCGCGGUGAAUACGUUCCCGGGCCUUGUACACACCGCCCGUCACACCACGAGAGUUUGUAACACCCGAAGUCGGUGGGGUAACCUUUUGGAGCCAGCCGCCGAAGGUGGGAUAGAUGAUUGGGGUGAAGUCGUACUGG
This 529-nucleotide ribosomal RNA is filed under the name uncultured bacterium. Its description in RNAcentral is "bacterial SSU rRNA". It matches the Rfam family "Bacterial small subunit ribosomal RNA", at positions 974 to 1495 of the family's 1533-position model. The record is from RNAcentral.